This 235-nucleotide unclassified non-coding RNA is filed under the name uncultured fungus. RNAcentral describes it as "partial contains 5.8S ribosomal RNA, internal transcribed spacer 2, and large subunit ribosomal RNA". The stretch from base 1 to 52 matches the Rfam family "5.8S ribosomal RNA", at positions 103 to 154 of the family's 154-position model. The record is from RNAcentral. Lineage: Eukaryota; Fungi.
AACGCACAUUGCGCCCCUUGGUAUUCCGAGGGGCAUGCCUGUUCGAGCGUCAUUAUAACCAAUCAAGCCCAGCUUGGUGUUGGGGUUCGCGGUUGCGCGGCCCUUAAAAUCAGUGGCGGUGCCGCCCGGCUCUAAGCGUAGUAACUUUCUCGCUAUGGGGUCCGGGUGGUCUCCUCCAGAACUCCCCCAUCUUACGGUUGACCUCGGAUCAGGUAGGGAUACCCGCUGAACUUAA